AGGGAAUCUUCCGCAAUGGGCGAAAGCCUGACGGAGCAACGCCGCGUGAGUGAUGAAGGUCUUCGGAUCGUAAAACUCUGUUAUUAGGGAAGAACAAAUGUGUAAGUAACUAUGCACGUCUUGACGGUACCUAAUCAGAAAGCCACGGCUAACUACGUGCCAGCAGCCGCGGUAAUACGUAGGUGGCAAGCGUUAUCCGGAAUUAUUGGGCGUAAAGCGCGCGUAGGCGGUUUUUUAAGUCUGAUGUGAAAGCCCACGGCCCAACCGUGGAGGGUCAUUGGAAACUGGAAAACUUGAGUGCAGAAGAGGAAAGUGGAAUUCCAUGUGUAGCGGUGAAAUGCGCAGAGAUAUGGAGGAACACCAGUGGCGAAGGCGACUUUCUGGUCUGUAACUGACGCUGAUGUGCGAAAGCGUGGGGAUCAAACAGGAUUAGAUACCCUGGUAGUCCACGCCGUAAACGAUGAGUGCUAAGUGUUAGGGGGUUUCCGCCCCUUAGUGCUGCAGCUAACGCAUUAAGCACUCCGCCUGGGGAGUACGACCGCAAGGUUG
This 549-nucleotide ribosomal RNA is filed under the name uncultured bacterium. RNAcentral's name for it is "bacterial SSU rRNA". It matches the Rfam family "Bacterial small subunit ribosomal RNA", at positions 356 to 896 of the family's 1533-position model. The record is from RNAcentral.